UGGGGAAUUUUGGACAAUGGGGGCAACCCUGAUCCAGCCAUGCCGCGUGCGGGAAGAAGGCCUUCGGGUUGUAAACCGCUUUUGGUCGGGAAGAAAGGGUUUGGGUUAAUAACCUGGACUGUUGACGGUACCGGCAGAAUAAGCACCGGCUAACUACGUGCCAGCAGCCGCGGUAAUACGUAGGGUGCGAGCGUUAAUCGGAAUUACUGGGCGUAAAGCGUGCGCAGGCGGUUUGUUAAGUCUGAUGUGAAAGCCCCGGGCUCAACCUGGGAAUGGCAUUGGAAACUGGCAAGCUAGAGUGUGGCAGAGGGGGGUGGAAUUCCGCGUGUAGCAGUGAAAUGCGUAGAGAUGCGGAGGAACACCGAUGGCGAAGGCAGCCCCCUGGGCCAACACUGACGCUCAGGCACGAAAGCGUGGGGAGCAAACA
Molecule: ribosomal RNA, 427 nt
Filed under: uncultured beta proteobacterium
Lineage: Bacteria; Pseudomonadati; Pseudomonadota; Betaproteobacteria
Description: partial 16S ribosomal RNA
Rfam family: Bacterial small subunit ribosomal RNA
Source: RNAcentral